RNAcentral lists this ribosomal RNA (1061 nucleotides) under Microbacterium sediminis. RNAcentral describes it as "bacterial SSU rRNA". It matches the Rfam family "Bacterial small subunit ribosomal RNA", at positions 397 to 1470 of the family's 1533-position model. The record is from RNAcentral. Lineage: Bacteria; Bacillati; Actinomycetota; Actinomycetes; Micrococcales; Microbacteriaceae.
GANCNGGANGGNAGGUGGACUUUGGGGUGUAAACCUCUUUUAGCAGGGAGAAGCGAGAGNUCCGUUCCUGCAGAAAAAGCGCGGGCUAAUUUCGUGCCAGCAGCCGCGGUAAUACGUAGGGCGCAAACGUUAUCCGGAAUUAUUGGGCGUAAAGAGCUCGUAGGCGUUUGUCGCGUCUGCUGUGAAAACUGGAGGCUCAACCUCCAGCCUGCAGUGGGUACGGGCAGACUAGAGUGCGGUAGGGGAGAUUGGAAUUCCUGGUGUAGCGGUGGAAUGCGCAGAUAUCAGGAGGAACACCGAUGGCGAAGGCAGAUCUCUGGGCCGUAACUGACGCUGAGGAGCGAAAGGGUGGGGAGCAAACAGGCUUAGAUACCCUGGUAGUCCACCCCGUAAACGUUGGGAACUAGUUGUGGGGGCCUUUCCACGGUCUCCGUGACGCAGCUAACGCAUUAAGUUCCCCGCCUGGGGAGUACGGCCGCAAGGCUAAAACUCAAAGGAAUUGACGGGGACCCGCACAAGCGGCGGAGCAUGCGGAUUAAUUCGAUGCAACGCGAAGAACCUUACCAAGGCUUGACAUAUACGAGAACGGGCUAGAAAUAGUCAACUCUUUGGACACUCGUAUACAGGUGGUGCAUGGUUGUCGUCAGCUCGUGUCGUGAGAUGUUGGGUUAAGUCCCGCAACGAGCGCAACCCUCGUUCUCUGUUGCCAGCACGUAAUGGUGGGAACUCAGGGGAUACUGCCGGGGUCAACUCGGAGGAAGGUGGGGAUGACGUCAAAUCAUCAUGCCCCUUAUGUCUUGGGCUUCACGCAUGCUACAAUGGCCGGUACAAAGGGCUGCAAUACCGUGAGGUGGAGCGAAUCCCAAAAAGCCGGUCCCAGUUCGGAUUGAGGUCUGCAACUCGACCUCAUGAAGUCGGAGUCGCUAGUAAUCGCAGAUCAGCAACGCUGCGGUGAAUACGUUCCCGGGUCUUGUACACACCGCCCGUCAAGUCAUGAAAGUCGGUAACACCUGAAGCCGGUGGCCUAACCCUUGUGGAGGGAGCCGUCGAAGGNUGNAUCG